Long non-coding RNA from Panicum virgatum (switchgrass), 1870 nucleotides. RefSeq lists it as uncharacterized. NCBI's taxonomy places the organism in Eukaryota, Viridiplantae, Streptophyta, Magnoliopsida, Poales, Poaceae. The record is from RefSeq and is a predicted model, not a curated record. The transcript is spliced from 3 exons.
UUCGACUUCUCAGCCAGAGGCUCAGACCCCCACCCACUCUUGCGUCUGAUAGAAGGAAGCCAAGGGGUGGCCCAUGGUUCCUGGGCGGGCGCCUGUGUGAUUCUGUGCCCAGAUCGCCGGAGCCCCCAUCGGCGACAGCAACUAGUGCGAGGAGGAGGCAGCGGCGUCCUCGACUGGGGGAAGUUCUUCUUUUGCUUCUUUUUCAGCUUUGAAAGCUCCAUAUUUGAGACAGUAAUAUUUUGAUUUGCUUUACAACGGUAAUGUAAUACUUUUUGUAGAACUGUUUAUAUUCCUUUUCUUGUACGGUAAGCCAUGAUUGAAUAAGUUUUUUAUUUUGUGCACUAUGACCUAGUGUUGCUGGUGUAUGAGCAUAUCAUGAACUAGUGUGAUCAUCCUAGAGUUAAUAUGUUUGUUCUAAGGGGUGUUGAACUGUUGAUUCUUGAAAAUAAUAUCUUUAUAUUUGAUUUGAUUUGCCAAGAUGCUUUUGUAUAUGAUUAAAAAAUUAAAACUUGUAGCAGUUUUUGGCUGGUUAGGGAGUAGUGCUAUUUUUUUGCUAGAUUAUUGAACUCUCCCUCCCUCCCUAGUUUUGUGUAUGUGUCUUUGUGGAUCACCUAGAGCUUAAUCAUAAUUUCACACAGUUAGGUGCAUAGAAUUAGUCAGUUAGAAGAACUAAAUUUAUACUAUUCCAGGAUGUGUCAUAUUUAUGUUCUGACAUUCAAGCAAAUUAUUUUUCAAUAUCAUGUCUGUUGUAGCAAAUUAUUUUUUAUGACUAUGCAUGCAUUCUGCAUCAUAAUGGUUUGAAUCACAGUAUGUUGAUGUUUGUGUCCCCAAACUAAUAUAGAUUGGUGUAUGUUUGUACUACCUUUUCUUGCUGCUUCGUUUGCUAGAUGAGUCAACCUGCACGUGGUAAUUUCUAUGAUGAUGUCCAAGAUGAUCAUGAGUAUUUAGACUCAUUUAAGAGAGAUACUGAUGAUGAAAAUUAUGAGGGAGCUCCAAAUGACAAUGCACACAAUCAUAGUUCUGGUUUUGUCCAUUUGAGUUCACUUGAUGAUGAUGCACUUUUUAAUAUGCUAAAGAAAUCAGUAAGUUAUCUUUUUUGCAUACAGGUUAGCUCGGGUUCUAGAUCUUCAAAAAUUAUCAGUAUGAUGGACGCUCUUGCUCCAUCCUUCCGUCUGCUUGAAGAAUUUGAUGACAAUGAUAAUUUCAUUGAUGAUCCACACAAACGUAGAGCUGCUGGCUUACCUUGCGAUGGGAAUACAAUCUAUGAUUAUCCCACAUGUGUGCCAUAUCAUGAUGAGGAGCACACUAUGCCAAACUCUGAAAUUCCAGCUCCCACCCACAGCACAAGCCAUUGUAAGCCCGCAAACACCCCAAGUAUUGCCGAUGAGCCACCAGGUGACGGCAUCAAUGCUGAUCAUCAUCAGGAUAGCCCUGCUUUCGAUAGAACACCAGAUGCAAAUUAUGACUCGUCACGCGAAGCAAUUCCACUGGCAGCUGUUGACAUUCAAGGCCGUCUCAUAUUACUAGUAUGUUUGUUCCUUUUUAUUUUAAUGCUACUUAAAAUAUAUCUUGUUAUACUUCUAAAUGGUUGUGGUCAUAUCAGAUCUGAUAAUCCCCAUAUUUUUCAUAGUUUCACUAGUUGAUUUUUUUAUAUUAACUCUGCCUAGAAUAUACAUUUCGCCCUUAGUUGAAGUUGUGUACCUGAAUUUGUGUAGUACAAGUUAGGAUCUGCUGACUAUUUUUGUAACAAUGUUAUCCAUUUUUCUCAAUGCUUAUGUGUGUCUCUCUCUAUCACUCUAUGCAACACAUAGUAGUUGCAGGUUUUGUUGGUGGUAAAACUUAUCUUAGUGGAUUUUUGGGUUUAUUUUUU